CAGCUGACGGAGCACGCCGCGUGAGUGAUGAAGGUCUUCGGAUCGUAAAACUCUGUUAUUAGGGAAGAACAAACGUGUAAGUAACUGUGCACGUCUUGACGGUACCUAAUCAGAAAGCCACGGCUAACUACGUGCCAGCAGCCGCGGUAAUACGUAGGUGGCAAGCGUUAUCCGGAAUUAUUGGGCGUAAAGCGCGCGUAGGCGGUUUUUUAAGUCUGAUGUGAAAGCCCACGGCUCAACCGUGGAGGGUCAUUGGAAACUGGAAAACUUGAGUGCAGAAGAGGAAAGUGGAAUUCCAUGUGUAGCGGUGAAAUGCGCAGAGAUAUGGAGGAACACCAGUGGCGAAGGCGACUUUCUGGUCUGUAACUGACGCUGAUGUGCGAAAGCGUGGGGAUCAAACAGGAUUAGAUACCCUGGUAGUCCACGCCGUAAACGAUGAGUGCUAAGUGUUAGGGGGUUUCCGCCCCUUAGUGCUGCAGCUAACGCAUUAAGCACUCCGCCUGGGGAGUACGACCGCAAGGUUGAAACUCAAAUGAAUUUUGACGGA
Molecule: ribosomal RNA, 547 nt
Filed under: uncultured bacterium
Lineage: Bacteria
Description: bacterial SSU rRNA
Rfam family: Bacterial small subunit ribosomal RNA
Source: RNAcentral